CAGUCGCCGCGGUAAUACGGAGGGGGCCAGCGUUGUUCGGAAUUACUGGGCGUAAAGCGUGCGUAGGCGGUUCGUUAAGUCUGUUGUGAAAGCCCCGGGCUCAACCUGGGAAUGGCAAUGGAUACUGGCGAGCUAGAGUGUGUCAGAGGAUGGUGGAAUUCCCGGUGUAGCGGUGAAAUGCGUAGAGAUCGGGAGGAACAUCAGUGGCGAAGGCGGCCAUCUGGGACAACACUGACGCUGAGGCACGAAAGCGUGGGGAGCAAACAGGAUUAGAUACCCCCGUAGUCCCUGUCUCUUAUAA
This 301-nucleotide ribosomal RNA is filed under the name uncultured bacterium. RNAcentral describes it as "partial 16S ribosomal RNA". It matches the Rfam family "Bacterial small subunit ribosomal RNA", at positions 509 to 809 of the family's 1533-position model. The record is from RNAcentral.